RNAcentral lists this ribosomal RNA (253 nucleotides) under uncultured bacterium. Its description in RNAcentral is "partial 16S ribosomal RNA". It matches the Rfam family "Bacterial small subunit ribosomal RNA", at positions 524 to 776 of the family's 1533-position model. The record is from RNAcentral.
UACGGAGGGUGCAAGCGUUAUCCGGAUUUACUGGGUUUAAAGGGUGCGCAGGCGGAUAUGUAAGUCAGUGGUGAAAUCUCUAGGCUUAACCUGGAAAUUGCCGUUGAUACUAUAUAUCUCGAAUGCUGUGGAGGUAAGCGGAAUAUGUCAUGUAGCGGUGAAAUGCUUAGAUAUGACAUAGAACACCUAUUGCGAAGGCAGCUUACUACGCAGAUAUUGACGCUCAUGCACGAAAGCGUGGGGAUCAAACAGG